RNAcentral lists this ribosomal RNA (514 nucleotides) under uncultured bacterium. RNAcentral describes it as "partial 16S ribosomal RNA". It matches the Rfam family "Bacterial small subunit ribosomal RNA", at positions 28 to 523 of the family's 1533-position model. The record is from RNAcentral.
GAUGAACGCUGGCGGCGUGCCUAAUACAUGCAAGUCGGGCGAACAGAUGAGAAGCUUGCUUCUCUGAUGUUAGCGGCGGACGGGUGAGUAACACGUGGGUAACCUACCUAUAAGACUGGGAUAACUCCGGGAAACCGGGGCUAAUACCGGAUAAUAUUUUGAACCGCAUGGUUCAAUAGUGAAAGACGGUUUCGGCUGUCACUUAUAGAUGGACCCGCGCCGUAUUAGGUAGUUGGUAAGGUAACGGCUUACCAAGGCGACGAUACGUAGCCGACCUGAGAGGGUGAUCGGCCACACUGGAACUGAGACACGGUCCAGACUCCUACGGGAGGCAGCAGUAGGGAAUCUUCCGCAAUGGGCGAAAGCCUGACGGAGCAACGCCGCGUGAGUGAUGAAGGUCUUCGGAUCGUAAAACUCUGUUGUUAGGGAAGAACAAAUUUGUUAGUAACUGAACAAGUCUUGACGGUACCUAACCAGAAAGCCACGGCUAAAUACGUGCCAGCAGCCGCCGUAA